GUCCAGGGUAGCCUAGUGGACAUGCCAUCUGCCCGGUAAGCGGAACACUGUGGGUUCGAUUCCAUCCCUGGACA
RNAcentral lists this transfer RNA (74 nucleotides) under Cordylochernes scorpioides. Its description in RNAcentral is "tRNA-Thr". It matches the Rfam family "tRNA". Rfam says of the family: Transfer RNA (tRNA) molecules are approximately 80 nucleotides in length. Their secondary structure includes four short double-helical elements and three loops (D, anti-codon, and T loops). Further hydrogen bonds mediate the characteristic L-shaped molecular structure. tRNAs have two regions of fundamental functional importance: the anti-codon, which is responsible for specific mRNA codon recognition, and the 3' end, to which the tRNAs corresponding amino acid is attached (by aminoacyl-tRNA synthetases). tRNAs cope with the degeneracy of the genetic code in two manners: having more than one tRNA (with a specific anti-codon) for a particular amino acid; and 'wobble' base-pairing, i.e. permitting non-standard base-pairing at the 3rd anti-codon position. The record is from RNAcentral. Lineage: Eukaryota; Metazoa; Arthropoda; Arachnida; Pseudoscorpiones; Chernetidae.